Molecule: ribosomal RNA, 440 nt
Filed under: uncultured bacterium
Lineage: Bacteria
Description: partial 16S ribosomal RNA
Rfam family: Bacterial small subunit ribosomal RNA
Source: RNAcentral
CCUACGGGAGGCAGCAGUGGGGAAUAUUGCGCAAUGGGCGAAAGCCUGACGCAGCAACGCCGCGUGGAGGAUGAAGGUUUUAGGAUUGUAAACCCCUUUUGUCAGAGAAGAACAUGACGGUAUCUAACCAAGAAUCACUGGCCAAUACCUUCCCAGCAGCCGCCGUAAUACGGCGGGCGCAAGGGUUACUCGGAAUCACUGGGCGUAAAGAGUGCGUAGGCGGGGUAAUAAGUCAGGGGUGAAAGCCUGAAGCUUAACUAAAGAACUGCAUUUGAAACUGGUACUCUGGAGUGUGGGAGAGGUAAGUGGAAUUCUUGGUGUAGGGGUGAAAUCCGUAGAGAUCGAGAGGAAUACUCAUUGCGAAGGCGACCUGCUGGAACAUUACUGACGCUGAGGCACGAAAGCGUGGGGAGCAAACAGGAUUAGAUACCCGGGUAGUC